UGCGGAAGGAUCAUUGUCGAU
This 21-nucleotide non-coding RNA is filed under the name Arabidopsis thaliana (thale cress). Lineage: Eukaryota; Viridiplantae; Streptophyta; Magnoliopsida; Brassicales; Brassicaceae. The record is from RNAcentral.